RNAcentral lists this transfer RNA (66 nucleotides) under bovine gut metagenome. It matches the Rfam family "tRNA", at positions 5 to 66 of the family's 71-position model. Rfam says of the family: Transfer RNA (tRNA) molecules are approximately 80 nucleotides in length. The record is from RNAcentral.
CCGGUGGCUCAGUUGGUUAGAGCGCUGCCCUGUCACGGCAGAGGUCAGGGGUUCAAGUCCCCUUCG